GAUGAACGCUAGCGGCAGGCUUAAUACAUGCAAGUCGAGGGGCAACAGGGGUAGCAAUACCCGCUGGCGACCGGCAAACGGGUGCGGAACACGUACAGAACCUUCCUUUAAGCGGGGGAUAGCCCAUAGAAAUGUGGAUUAAUACCCCAUAGUAAUGUUGUCUGGCAUCAGAUGAUAUUUAAAGAUUUAUCACUUAAAGAUGGCUGUGCGGCUGAUUAGGUAGUUGGUGNGGGUAACGGCCACCAAGCCAGCGAUCAGUAACUGGUGUGAGAGCACGACCAGUCACACGGGCACUGAGACACGGGCCCGACUCCUACGGGAGGCAGCAGUAAGGAAUAUUGGUCAAUGGACGCAAGUCUGAACCAGCCAUGCCGCGUGAAGGAUGAAGG
RNAcentral lists this ribosomal RNA (389 nucleotides) under uncultured bacterium. RNAcentral's name for it is "bacterial SSU rRNA". It matches the Rfam family "Bacterial small subunit ribosomal RNA", at positions 28 to 414 of the family's 1533-position model. The record is from RNAcentral.